CAGCCGCCGCGGUAAUACAGAGGGUGCGAGCGUUAAUCGGAUUUACUGGGCGUAAAGCGUGCGUAGGCGGCUAAUUGAGUCGGAUGUGAAAUCCCCGAGCUUAACUUGGGAAUUGCAUUCGAUACUGGUUAGCUAGAGUGUGGGAGAGGAUGGUAGAAUUCCAGGUGUAGCGGUGAAAUGCGUAGAGAUCUGGAGGAAUACCGAUGGCGAAGGCAGCCAUCUGGCCUAACACUGACGCUGAGGUACGAAAGCAUGGGGAGCAAACAGGAUUAGAUACCCCUGUAGUCCCUGUCUCUUAUAC
Molecule: ribosomal RNA, 301 nt
Filed under: uncultured bacterium
Lineage: Bacteria
Description: partial 16S ribosomal RNA
Rfam family: Bacterial small subunit ribosomal RNA
Source: RNAcentral